CACGUAGGGUGCGAGCGUUGUCCGGAAUUAUUGGGCGUAAAGAGCUCGUAGGCGGUCUGUCGCGUCGAAUGUGAAAACCCGGGGCUCAACCCCGGGCCUGCAUUCGAUACGGGCAGACUAGAGUUCGGUAGGGGAGUCUGGAAUUCCUGGUGUAGCGGUGAAAUGCGCAGAUAUCAGGAGGAACACCGGUGGCGAAGGCGGGACUCUGGGCCGAUACUGACGCUGAGGAGCGAAAGCGUGGGGAGCGAACAGG
Molecule: ribosomal RNA, 253 nt
Filed under: uncultured bacterium
Lineage: Bacteria
Description: partial 16S ribosomal RNA
Rfam family: Bacterial small subunit ribosomal RNA
Source: RNAcentral